Molecule: long non-coding RNA, 664 nt
Organism: Arvicola amphibius (Eurasian water vole)
Lineage: Eukaryota; Metazoa; Chordata; Mammalia; Rodentia; Cricetidae
Exons: 2
Source: RefSeq, a predicted model, not a curated record
GAGGCAGUAGGUUGUCCGGGUUCGCGGAGGUGGCCACGAUCCGGAGCACCCCUGCGCAUGAUGCCCUUUAGCCCAUAUCUCUCCCUUGCCCCAAACUUGCUCUCACCUACCCAAGUGUCCCCCGGGGGGACCACAGGCAAUCCGGAGAGAAAGGGAAACUGUGGUGACGCCGUAGCAGCCUAGCUGGUGUGCCCUCGCGCCCUCCACCUGCAGCGCCAGGUGAGCCGCAGAGACUCACACCCGACGCCACCCUCGGCGUCGGCAAGCCCAAGACAACUCAGUUAGUUAAGCCUCAGGAUCCCGGAUCCUUAAACAAGGGAGACUGGAACUCUCAGCCACUCCUGCAGGACACUCCCCAGAGGCGUGGGGGACUGCAGCGGAGGCCACUAGCUGAUCAGACUCCGAACUCCGGUGCCCAGCAGUCGCCUGCGCUGAGUUAGCCCUGGAGCCCCUACCCAUAUGAAUCCCCGCCGAGUGUCCCAACUUUCCCGCGAGGAUAGCUGUCACGCGACAUCUAUUGCGCCCGGGGCCGCGCGCGGGUGGCGAGCUGGAGCGAGGGAAGUCCCGGACCCGGCGGCCCGGGCUCGCCAAGCAGCAGCGGCUGCAGCUCAGCCAGGGUGACAGAACUAUUCAUCAUUAAAGAAAUGGACGCGUCUCCUUUUUA